This 101-nucleotide non-coding RNA is filed under the name Eucampia antarctica. The record is from RNAcentral. Lineage: Eukaryota; Bacillariophyta; Thalassiosirophyceae; Eucampiales; Eucampiaceae.
AGAAGAAAAUCUGUGCUCAGCGUGUCUCCUCUAUGACACGUCAUGAUUCUGAUGAAAAUGUGCAAGUGACUACCAAACGCAUGUACUUUUAUAAAAGUCCG